CCCGCAUACGCCCUGGCUUCGCCUCCCAUUCUUAUUUGAGCCCCCCCCAAAUCACUCCAACUUGCACCCCAGAACAUCCCUUUGCAGGUCCCCCCUUUGCAGAUCUCCCAUUCUUAUUGGAGCCCCCCCAAAGUCACUCCAACUUGCACCCCAGAACAUCCCUUUGCAGGUCUCCCUUUUGCAGAUCUCCCAUUCUUAUUGGAGCCCCCCCAAAGUCACUCCAACUUGCACCCCAGA
Suncus etruscus (white-toothed pygmy shrew) is the source of this 237-nucleotide long non-coding RNA. RefSeq lists it as uncharacterized. The transcript is spliced from 3 exons. NCBI's taxonomy places the organism in Eukaryota, Metazoa, Chordata, Mammalia, Eulipotyphla, Soricidae. The record is from RefSeq and is a predicted model, not a curated record.